AUUUGACGUUGGUUGGCUGAACAGCUUGGUCUGUCAACAAAACAGACAGAAGUUUAUUUGGACAAAAAAAACAAGGCGGUAGCAGCCAGAAACUCCCUCUCUCAAUUGUCUGUCGGAAGCCACUUUAAUGUUGAAGAUAACAGCUUAUCUUUCUUUCAUCGUUUAGUGCAAUCUUUGACUUUGAAUUAGGAUACCAAAGAUAAUUGUUUCCGUGAACGACUUGCCCUGGGACCCUUGCAAAACAGUGGAAGCAUUCGGCGAAAAGAAGGCCGAUGAGAAACCUUCGGAUCAACAAGAACCAAUCCUUUAAAACAUUGUGGAAAAUGAAACCGAUUUUGUUGAUUCCAAGAAUGAGAGGGAUUAUUGUCCAGUCAAUCCUACAGUGACCAGUAACAUAAUUAAGGAGGACUACAAGAAACAUCCAUCAGCAUCCCAAUACAGAUUUGUGCAUAUGCCCAGCUAACCAGCUUUAUGUUGACAUCAAGAAAUGCUGACAUAAUUUGGAACUGGGAAGAACAGCACGAAGAUAAGAAGAGGAAACAUUUAGAAAUAUUCAGCUACUCAACUGUCAUAACGAGACGUUACAAUAGUAGAGCCAGAAAACAGCAAGAGACUACAUAGAAAAUCUUAUCCAGAAGGAAAUCAGGAACAAGUCCAAAUGAAUGGUCUCAUGAAACCGUUUGGUUCUAUAACCGUUUACUUGAAGAUGAACACAAAAUAUGGUCAGCGUUUGAGCGGAGAUUUUGACUCCCAAAAAUUCUCGGAUCACACAUGCUAUGUUAGUUACACCACUCCGAAAUUCAUUGCAGUGGAGACAAAAAGGUAUACAACAGAGUGAUCUACUGAGUGCACAUGUCUCAGAGCUGGUGACCAAAGAACUGAGGAUGCGUUGAGACGAGGUGUGAGAUGAGAGCAAAAGAUGGCAUGAUAAAACUGGGGAUGCAAAGUAGGAUGGAGAGGCUAUUGGAAAAGUUCUAAACGAAGUUGCUGAAAAAAGUCGAGCGGACUCGGAGUACUAAACGUGUUGCUCUCUACUUUAGAAUAAUUUACUUUUCAAAGAUUCACUGUUCAGCUAAUAAGAUCUGAGAAUUCCUAGAACCCAGUAUUUAUUCUCAGUAAAAAUCAGAAAAUAAAUGUUAAAGCAUCAAAUUCCAUACAUUCUCAGAUUCAAGUUGGUGAAAUUACGUUCUGCAGCACCCUGAAGUAUAUCACGUCAGUGUACUUAAAUAAAUAUUCAUCCAUCAUACAGAGGAUCAAGAGGGCGUAAAGUGGUUGCGCUGCUGUCUGCCUGCCAGUAACUCUUGGACAGCUGUUCUUGUUAGUGCAGAUAAAUGUAAAACCGAUACCUACUGGUGCAUUCUACAGAAUGCCCUGAUGACCAAAUACUCUUCAACUAACAGCAAUUUUUCCCCUUUUUCAUUAAAAAACACGAAGUAAGCUAUACAAAGCACACAGAUCUAUCUCGUGAAACAAUUACUUCAAAUUGCAUAGAAUUUGUUCAACUGUGUUUGGAGUAUUCAACGUGGUACAUUUCUAUAAUGACAUAUUUCUUAAAUUAUACACGGCUGCUGGUUUUGAUUUCUUAAUGUACAUCAUUACCACAUUGAGCCAGUUUCGCAACGGACGACGCUCUUGGUUACACAAAGCUCCUGGGUUCCAGUAUCUCAUUCGAAAUGCAUAGCCCUGUAAUCAGGUAUAUUCCGUUGGAUGUUGAUCUGGACAGAACACUUUUUUUAAAGUGUCAGGUACUGAGACUGAUGCCUUUCCUCAGAUACUUGCCCACACUAACUACAAAAUCAACUACUGAAUAUCAACUACUGAAGCCAAUAAACUGCAAAGUUUGGGAGCUAAAAUUGGAGUUUAUUUUUCAGAUUCAGUGUUGCAAUGAAACAUCACUAACAAGUCGGGACUUCUGAUUGAAAUAACACACAAACUUGGUAAAGUAUGUUUGAUGAUAACCAGGAGAACAUCCCUGUACCAUUCUCAUUCGAAGACAAACACAGAGGCCCAGUCGCUGAAUGAUACGUGCAACUUCAUUCGUUCGAUUCACUUAUUUUACGAAGUUGAAAACAUGUACUGUCCUUUUAAGAGAGUGUGAAUGCUGUUUUGCAAUGAGAGCUUGCAACCACCUUUCAUAUGACUAACCAGCAGUCUCGUAAUGCACUGGGAAUUGAAAAUAUAUAA
Molecule: non-coding RNA, 2184 nt
Organism: Chiloscyllium plagiosum (whitespotted bambooshark)
Lineage: Eukaryota; Metazoa; Chordata; Chondrichthyes; Orectolobiformes; Hemiscylliidae
Source: RefSeq, a predicted model, not a curated record